GUCUGGGGCUCCGGGUAAAGUUUCAGCCUCCGCACGUGACUCGCUAUGGCCGCUGCCAUCGCCCCGCGCCCCUGAGCCGCGGCCCCCCGGACGGCUCCUCUCCCGGGACCCCGCACCCUGAUGCCGAGCAGCACCAGGGCGCCGGGUUAGGGCAGACGCUGUGCUCGCUGGCACCCCGAACGGGUUGCGUCCCCCGCUGCGAGCAUCACAGGACAUGGCCCCCUCAGCCACCUAGCUGGGGCCCAUCUAGGAGUGGCAUCUUUUUUGGUGCCCUGAAGGCCAGCUCUGGACCUUCCCAGGAAAAGUGCCAGCUCACAGAACUGCUUGACCAAAGGACCGGCUCUUGAGACAUCCCCCAACCCACCUGGCCCCCAGCUAGGGUGGGGGCUCCAGGAGACUGAGAUUAGCCU
This 410-nucleotide long non-coding RNA is filed under the name Pan troglodytes (chimpanzee). RNAcentral describes it as "long non-coding RNA NONPTRT007113". Lineage: Eukaryota; Metazoa; Chordata; Mammalia; Primates; Hominidae. The record is from RNAcentral.